CUACGGGGCGCUGCAGUGAGGAAUAUUGCGCAAUGGGGGAAACCCUGACGCAGCGACGCCGCGUGGAUGAUGAAGGCCUUAGGGUCGUAAAAUCCUGUCAGGUGGGAAGAAGUGGAUAUAGAUUAAUACUCUAUUUCUUUGACGGUACCACCAGAGGAAGCACCGGCUAACUCCGUGCCAGCAGCCGCGGUAAUACGGAGGGUGCAAACGUUGUUCGGAAUUACUGGGCGUAAAGCGCGCGUAGGCGGUUUGUUAAGUCAGAUGUGAAAGUCCAUGGCUCAACUAGGGAAGUGCAUUUGAAACUGGUAGACUUGAGUACUGGAGGGGGUGAUGGAAUUCCCGGUGUAGAGGUGAAAUUCGUAGAUAUCGGGAGGAAUACCGGUGGCGAAGGCGAUCACCUGGCCAGAUACUGACGCUGAGGUGCGAAAGCGUGGGGAGCAAACAGGAUUAGAUACCCCCGUAGUC
RNAcentral lists this ribosomal RNA (465 nucleotides) under uncultured bacterium. RNAcentral describes it as "partial 16S ribosomal RNA". It matches the Rfam family "Bacterial small subunit ribosomal RNA", at positions 339 to 795 of the family's 1533-position model. The record is from RNAcentral.